GCGGGGGUGGCGGAACGGGUAGACGCGCAAGGCUAAGGACCUUGUGGCUGCAAGGCUGUGGGAGUUCGAGUCUCCCCCUCCGCACCA
Molecule: transfer RNA, 87 nt
Filed under: Synergistetes bacterium ADurb.BinA166
Lineage: Bacteria; Thermotogati; Synergistota
Also listed under: 3 other names
Description: tRNA-Leu
Rfam family: tRNA
About the family: Transfer RNA (tRNA) molecules are approximately 80 nucleotides in length. Their secondary structure includes four short double-helical elements and three loops (D, anti-codon, and T loops).
Source: RNAcentral